AGUGAACGCUGGCGGUAGGCCUAACACAUGCAAGUCGAACGGCAGCACAGUAAGAGCUUGCUCUUACGGGUGGCGAGUGGCGGACGGGUGAGGAAUACAUCGGAAUCUACUUUUUCGUGGGGGAUAACGUAGGGAAACUUACGCUAAUACCGCAUACGACCUACGGGUGAAAGCAGGGGAUCUUCGGACCUUGCGCGAUUGAAUGAGCCGAUGUCGGAUUAGCUAGUUGGCGGGGUAAAGGCCCACUAAGGCGACGAUACGUAGCUGGUGUGAGAGGAUGAUCAGCGACACUGGAACUGAGACACGGUCCAUACUCCUACGGGAGGCAGCAGUGGGGAAUAUUAGGCAAUGGGCGGAAGCCUGAUCCAGCCGUACCGCGUGUGUGAAGAAGGCCUUCGGGUUGUAAAGCCCUUUUGUUGGGAAAGAAAAGCAGCAGGUUAAUACGCCGCUGGUGUGACGGUACCCAAAGAAUAAGCACCGGCUAACUUCGUG
This 492-nucleotide ribosomal RNA is filed under the name uncultured bacterium. RNAcentral describes it as "partial 16S ribosomal RNA". It matches the Rfam family "Bacterial small subunit ribosomal RNA", at positions 29 to 507 of the family's 1533-position model. The record is from RNAcentral.